Long non-coding RNA from Brassica napus (rape), 1896 nucleotides. RefSeq lists it as uncharacterized. NCBI's taxonomy places the organism in Eukaryota, Viridiplantae, Streptophyta, Magnoliopsida, Brassicales, Brassicaceae. The record is from RefSeq and is a predicted model, not a curated record. The transcript is spliced from 3 exons.
CAUAUGAGCAAUAUCUUAUAAAAAUAUGAGCAAUAUCUUAUAAACAUUUUUCAUAUAUAAUUAACGAUAAAUUUAUGUAUACUAUAUCAAGCUAUGUUAAUUUAUAUCACAAAAUAAAGUUCAACAAGACAUAUAACAAUAAACAACCUUAAAUUAUAUAUUAUAUUAUUUUAGACGUUUAAUCAUGGACAAUUUUUAUAAAUAGACCAUUUUCAAAAAAAAUUAUUAUAUUUUCAAAAAUGUAGUAGUCUGUAAAUAAAUAUAUAAAUUUUCAAAAUAUAAUAAUUCUCAAAAUAUAAAAAAUUCUAACAUAAAUAAGUGAAAUUUAAUGAUAUAUUUAGUUGAAAACAAUCUAAGAAAUAAGUGAAAUUUAAUGACAUAUUUAGUUGAAACCAAACUAAAUGUUUGUAAAUAAUUUAUUAAAAUUUCAUGAGAAUUUAUGGUUAUAAUGUUUUUUUUAUUCAUUUACCAGCUUUAGGUGGGUUUUACUCUAAUAUCAUUUUCAAUCAAUAAUAGUUUUAAAUACUUCAAAAUUAAUAUAAAUUCAUAUAAAAUAGUUUUUAUUAUAACUUCCCGCCCGUAGGACGGACCUACCCUAGUACUGUAUAUAAAUAUGAAAUUUAAGGAAGAAAGUUUUCAUGACAUUGUAUCUGAAGAAUAUACUCUCGAAUAAAUACGUUAAACCAAGUCAUUAAGAGUUGCGAGUUCGAUACGGAAAGGGAAACAGUACUUGACUAACGGCGUUAACCAACCAUGGCGGUUUCUUCGUCGUCUCCGGCCAUCAUCUUCGCCGUUACUGUACUGAUGCUUCUCACUGCUUCCUCCGUCAAAUUAAUAGGUGAUUAUUGAUUAGGCUGACGACAAGACCGUUUUCUUUGAACGCCUAAACCGUUAUAGCCUAGACCGAUUUUUACAACACUGUGAAACUGUUUUUGAUUGAUGUAUCUUAAGGUUGAUUCAAGCUAUUGCGUUUUUUGAUGCAGGUGGACAAGGCACAUAGUUGGACUUGCAUGGAUAUUUAUGUCUUUGUGACACCGUACCGUGUGACAUGGGACUGGUACUUCAUUUCAAGAGAGCACACCAUGGAGUUCAAUGAGUGGGAAGGAAAAGUUGAGUAUGACUAUGUUAAGCAGAAAGGAGUUUCGAUAUUCCUCAUGGAAGCAGGGAUGGUGGGAACUCCGAGCAUUGUGGGAUGUCUUCCCUCUCUUUACCAAUACCGGUUGGGGGGAGAGUUCUAACAUCGCUUUUCUUGAGAAGCAUAUGGGUGCUAAUUUUGAUGCUCGUCCUCAUCCUUGGGUUACUAACAUUACCACCGAUGAAAUCCACUCCGGAGACUUACUAGCGAUCUCAAAGAUCCGUGGACGGUGGGGUGGUUUUUAGACCCUUGAGAAGUGGGUAAGCGGAGCUUAUGCUGGCCAUACUGCUGUCUGCUUGACAGAUUCUGAUGGGAAGCUAUGGGUUGGUGAAUCCGGUAAUGAAAAUGAAAAGGGAGAAGAUGUAAUAGCGGUAUUGCCAUGGGAAGAGUGGUGGGAGUUCGAACAAACCAAGGAUGAUGCAAAUCCUCAUAUUGCAUUGCUACCGUUGCAUCCUGAUUAUCGAGCCAGGUUUAAUGUUACUUGAGAAGUCACUUAUUCGGAUGAGGUGUUGAUCAUUGAUGAAAUCUUAAGAAAAUUGUUAUAAUUUGAUUGGUCCAUGAUUUUUAACUUUUAAUUAUUUUAAUUUGAUCUAAAAUAUAAGGUAAGACUAUUACUAAUUAAUUAUACUUGUCAAAUAAUCAAAAAAAAUCUUACAAUUAAUGUUUUAUGUUAACUAUUGUGAAAAUUAUAGAAUGAGUAAUAAUGCUUUAUCAAAUUUUUAAUGUUUAUAAAAUAUAUAUAUAUAUAUAUAUAUAAUAAU